GGCUUGUCUGAAGGUAGUGAGUUACCUCAAUUGAUUGUUCACAGUUACAGAUCGAACUCCUUGUUCUACUCUUUCCCCCUUCUCACUACUGCACUUGGCUAGUCUUUA
This 108-nucleotide Y RNA is filed under the name Propithecus coquereli (Coquerel's sifaka). RNAcentral's name for it is "Y RNA (ENSPCOG00000001531.1)". It matches the Rfam family "Y RNA". From Rfam's summary of the family: Y RNAs are components of the Ro ribonucleoprotein particle (Ro RNP), in association with Ro60 and La proteins. The Y RNAs and Ro60 and La proteins are well conserved, but the function of the Ro RNP is not known. Lineage: Eukaryota; Metazoa; Chordata; Mammalia; Primates; Indriidae. The record is from Rfam by way of RNAcentral.